This 327-nucleotide unclassified non-coding RNA is filed under the name soil metagenome. Its description in RNAcentral is "partial contains 5.8S ribosomal RNA, internal transcribed spacer 2, and large subunit ribosomal RNA". The stretch from base 1 to 120 matches the Rfam family "5.8S ribosomal RNA", at positions 35 to 154 of the family's 154-position model. The record is from RNAcentral.
GAUGAAGAACGCAUCGAAAUGCGAUAAGUAAUGUGAAUUGCAGAAUUCAGUGAAUCAUCGAAUCUUUGAACGCACAUUGCGCCCCUUGGUAUUCCGAGGGGCAUGCCUAUUCGAGCGUCAUUAUCACCCCUCAAGCCUAGCUUGGUGUUGAGGCCUGCUGUCAAGGCAGCCUCUAAAAUCAGUGGCAGUGCUGUCAGGCUCUAAGCGUAGUAAAUCUAAUCGCUAUAGACACCUGGUGGACACUCGCCAGAACCCCCCCAUUUUUUAAUGAUUGACCUCGGAUUAGGUAGGGAUACCCGCUGAACUUAAGCAUAUCAAAGCGGAGGA